This 256-nucleotide ribosomal RNA is filed under the name Nocardia sp. ISOM005_OTU5992. RNAcentral's name for it is "partial 16S ribosomal RNA". It matches the Rfam family "Bacterial small subunit ribosomal RNA", at positions 29 to 289 of the family's 1533-position model. The record is from RNAcentral. Lineage: Bacteria; Bacillati; Actinomycetota; Actinomycetes; Mycobacteriales; Nocardiaceae.
ACGAACGCUGGCGGCGUGCUUAACACAUGCAAGUCGAGCGGUAAGGCCCUUCGGGGUACACGAGCGGCGAACGGGUGAGUAACACGUGGGUGACCUGCCUCGCACUUCGGGAUAAGCCUGGGAAACUGGGUCUAAUACCGGAUAUGACCUCCGGCUUCAUGGUUGGUGGUGGAAAGAUUUAUCGGUGUGAGAUGGGCCCGCGGCCUAUCAGCUUGUUGGUGGGGUAACGGCCUACCAAGGCGACGACGGGUAGCCG